Long non-coding RNA from Myotis brandtii (Brandt's bat), 1221 nucleotides. RefSeq lists it as uncharacterized. The transcript has 3 exons. The record is from RefSeq and is a predicted model, not a curated record. Lineage: Eukaryota; Metazoa; Chordata; Mammalia; Chiroptera; Vespertilionidae.
UCGCUCCGUGUCGCCCGGGCGGCGUCCUGUCCCGGCUUCCAGGGCACAGCCGGAGGCCCCGCGACUUCCUCCGUCUCAGCGUCUGCUCGUCGCCCUUAUUUUCGCGAGUUCGUCCCGAAGCGGCUGCCAUCUGUCCCCACUCCCUUCACCUUUCCACCCAGCCCCCAACGCCCGCUCUGGCCACCCUGGGGCAGUCCAGCUCCUUUUCAUUCAUUCAUAAGCUAAGAAUGAGGCUGGAAUGAGCACCAUGGUAAAUAGUGUUCAGAUUACGUGAGAUGCUCAGGGUGGGGGUAGGAGGGCAAUUUCUAGGUCCAAUAAUACAAAUGUAAUGGUUACAAGAAACUUUACGGAGAAGGGUAGGCGUCCUGACCCUAUCGGGUCAAAUCCACACUUGUAUGGGCUUGAUUUUUCUGUAUAUUUAGUUGUGACAAUCAGAAUGCAUAAACACACUGAAUAUAAAUAGCGAUACUAAUAACGUAUUAGUAAACGAUGUCAAUAUGAGAUUUAUUUCUCAGAUUAUACCAAAAUGGGUUGGUUGGAAGUCAGUUGUACUAUUUAAUACUAAAAGAACAUAAUCCUCGUCGACAGAGAAAUAGGAACUGUGUGUAGAGCCUGCUGACCAUUCCAGGAACUAAGGAAGCGAACAGUGUCACCAGACUAAAUGUGAGACCAGCCAGAGGGGCAUUCUCUGCACCUGAGCACUGCUGGAUGAAAGGAGACUUCUGCCAUCCGCCGUGGAGACCAGGCUGUCAAAGGCUCAGGCAGGAGACAACCUCGAAAAGGCAGGUGUGCCUCAGGUGAAGUUUCAGGAGCACGAUUUCCAAAGGAUUCUAAAGCCGGUAACAGCUCUCUGUACAGAACUUUAUCAGUCAGAACGCUGCACAAGUGGACACUCCUGAUGUUGGCCACAUUUUCUUAAACUUAAGUUUACAAGGAAUACAUAAAACUUGUGAAAUGCCGAGUCUGUCAAAUGUUACAAAAAGCAGAAGGCCCUUCCCUGCCCGCACCUCUGGGGGUGCAGCUGGAGGCACAUCCCUUCACGCCUCCGGUAAAGCACCCCGGGGUCUCUGCGCAGGUGUGUGUGCGUCAGCAGCACUCACAGCAUCACAUCCUGCACCAGGGCGGCCUGGCCGUUCACCCCGUUCCCACAACACCUCACGGGCCUAGCCACACGGGAAUGAGCCCUAGAGCCGUGGUCGGCAAACUGCGGCUCUUUGGCCC